This 1334-nucleotide ribosomal RNA is filed under the name uncultured bacterium. RNAcentral describes it as "bacterial SSU rRNA". It matches the Rfam family "Bacterial small subunit ribosomal RNA", at positions 28 to 1382 of the family's 1533-position model. The record is from RNAcentral.
GACGAACGCUGGCGGCGCGCCUAACACAUGCAAGUCGAACGAGCGAGAGAGAGCUUGCUUUUCUCGAGCGAGUGGCGAACGGGUGAGUAACGCGUGAGGAACCUGCCUCAAAGAGGGGGACAACAGUUGGAAACGACUGCUAAUACCGCAUAAGCCCACGGGUCGGCAUCGACCAGAGGGAAAAGGAGCAAUCCGCUUUGAGAUGGCCUCGCGUCCGAUUAGCUAGUUGGUGAGGUAAUGGCCCACCAAGGCGACGAUCGGUAGCCGGACUGAGAGGUUGAACGGCCACAUUGGGACUGAGACACGGCCCAGACUCCUACGGGAGGCAGCAGUGGGGAAUAUUGCACAAUGGGGGAAACCCUGAUGCAGCGACGCCGCGUGGAGGAAGAAGGUCUUCGGAUUGUAAACUCCUGUUGUUGGGGAAGAUAAUGACGGUACCCAACAAGGAAGUGACGGCUAACUACGUGCCAGCAGCCGCGGUAAAACGUAGGUCACAAGCGUUGUCCGGAAUUACUGGGUGUAAAGGGAGCGCAGGCGGGAAGACAAGUUGGAAGUGAAAUCUAUGGGCUCAACCCAUAAACUGCUUUCAAAACUGUUUUUCUUGAGUAGUGCAGAGGUAGGCGGAAUUCCCGGUGUAGCGGUGGAAUGCGUAGAUAUCGGGAGGAACACCAGUGGCGAAGGCGGCCUACUGGGCACCAACUGACGCUGAGGCUCGAAAGUGUGGGUAGCAAACAGGAUUAGAUACCCUGGUAGUCCACACCGUAAACGAUGAUUACUAGGUGUUGGAGGAUUGACCCCUUCAGUGCCGCAGUUAACACAAUAAGUAAUCCACCUGGGGAGUACGACCGCAAGGUUGAAACUCAAAGGAAUUGACGGGGGCCCGCACAAGCAGUGGAGUAUGUGGUUUAAUUCGACGCAACGCGAAGAACCUUACCAAGUCUUGACAUCCCUUGACAGACAUAGAAAUAUGUUUUCUCUUCGGAGCAAGGAGACAGGUGGUGCAUGGUUGUCGUCAGCUCGUGUCGUGAGAUGUUGGGUUAAGUCCCGCAACGAGCGCAACCCUUAUGGUCAGUUACUACGCAAGAGGACUCUGGCCAGACUGCCGUUGACAAAACGGAGGAAGGUGGGGAUGACGUCAAAUCAUCAUGCCCUUUAUGACUUGGGCUACACACGUACUACAAUGGCGUUAAACAAAGAGAAGCAAGACCGCGAGGUGGAGCAAAACUCAGAAACAACGUCCCAGUUCGGACUGCAGGCUGCAACUCGCCUGCACGAAGUCGGAAUUGCUAGUAAUCGUGGAUCAGCAUGCCACGGUGAAUACGUUCCCGGGCCUU